AGAGUUUGAGUUAUGGCUCAGGAUGAACGCUGGCGGCGUGCUUAACACAUGCAAGUCGAACGGAGCCUAUCGAGUGCUUGCACUUGAGAAAGCUUAGUGGCGGACGGGUGAGGUAACGCGUGGGGUAACCUGCCCUGUACCGGGGGGAGUAACAGUUGGAAACGGCUGCUAAUACCGCAUAAGCCCACAGCACCGCAUGGUGCAGGGGGAAAAACUCCGGUGGUACAGGAUGGACCCGCGUCUGAUUAGCUAGUUGGUGAGGUAACGGCCCACCAAGGCGACGAUCAGUAGCCGGCCUGAGAGGGUGAACGGCCACAUUGGGACUGAGACACGGCCCAAACUCCUACGGGAGGCAGCAGUGGGGAAUAUUGCACAAUGGGGGAAACCCUGAUGCAAGCGACGCCGCGUGAGUGAUGAAGUAUUUCGGUAUGUAAAACUCUAUCAGCAGGGAAGAAAAUGACGGUACCUGACUAAGAAGCACCGGCUAAAUACGUGCCAGCCGCCGC
This 506-nucleotide ribosomal RNA is filed under the name uncultured bacterium. Its description in RNAcentral is "bacterial SSU rRNA". It matches the Rfam family "Bacterial small subunit ribosomal RNA", at positions 8 to 518 of the family's 1533-position model. The record is from RNAcentral.